This 107-nucleotide small nuclear RNA is filed under the name Tupaia belangeri chinensis (Chinese tree shrew). The record is from RNAcentral. Lineage: Eukaryota; Metazoa; Chordata; Mammalia; Scandentia; Tupaiidae.
GUGCUCACUUUGGCAGCACAUAUACUAAAAUUGGAAUGAUACAGAGAAGAUUAGCAUGACCCCUACAUAAGGAUGACACACAAAUUCAUGAAGCAUUACAUAUUUUU